UCUGGCUGGUGAAACAGAUGGAAAUCCAGCAUCUUCCUUCCUACUAGAUGUCUGAUUCCAAAGGGACUACAUGUCAAGAGGGAAACACAGUUACAGAUGAAAGCUGUGACCCAGAAGAACUCCUCCCAUGGAAGAGCAGCACAUGUACCUUCAUGACACUGGGAUGAGACUGUGCUCAUCUUGACUUGGUGACAGUACACUUCUGGAUGGUGCUCAUUUACCCUCUUAAUAAUUUGCAUGAGAAACUAACAUGGUCAGAUUAGGGCUCUUAUUUUGAGCCCCAUGUGAGUGUUAAUCUAAGACACCUGUUGUCCAUCCAGUACCCUGACUACCAAAGCUUCUUCACUGGGAGAAAAAAAAUGUAUCAACUUUUUUUUUUUAAGUGUGGAGAUUUAGCCAUACCUUCAGUUUUUGUAAGCCCCAAAAUCAAAAUUUUGGAGACAGUUCUGUAUAUUUGCCUUUGUGGGUUUUUUGUUUUGUUUUUGGAAUGGAAUCUGGCUAUGUUACCCAGACUGGUCCCCAACUCCUAAGCUCAUGAUCCUCCUGUCUCAGAUUGCUGAGUAGCUGGGUUACAGACUGCACCACUGUGCCCAGCUCUGUACUUGCCUUUUGGGACUCAAGUAGUAGAUUUGAUGUUGUGACCUCAGCCUCCACUUCCCUAUUUCCUCCAUCCCAACAGUUCUUGUAUUCCAUUAGAUGAGACCUAUGUUCUGGGGAAAUAGAUUCUCCACUGGACAGAAGCAGGAGCAGGAAAUCUAGGUGAAACAAAUAUACCCAUCACCUGGCCACAAUCCCUGAUUCAAGCGUUGAGCAUGUGACCUGUGGGUUCGCAGGAAAAACUGUUAUGUGCAGACUACUGUAACAGAGUCACCCUUCAUUCUGAUUUUGGACAGUGUGGUGAUGGUGCAGAUAUAAGGUCUAGAGCAGGGGUGGCCAUCAGUGUCACCAACAGACUGGGCUUGGCCUGGGGCCAUCACUAAUUCAAGAGGCCAUACAUGAGCAGACUGAAGGGAGACAGUGGUGGGCCCGGAAUCACGUCACACCCAAAGCAUACCUACUUCUAGACUCUUUCACUAUUUCCAUGCUUUCCAUUUACUGCUUGGAGGGAGACGCUUGUAACUGGUGGCCAUAUUGUCCUAGGUGGCAAAAAUAAAAGAAGUUCAGAAACAA
Heterocephalus glaber (naked mole-rat) is the source of this 1170-nucleotide non-coding RNA. Lineage: Eukaryota; Metazoa; Chordata; Mammalia; Rodentia; Bathyergidae. The record is from RefSeq and is a predicted model, not a curated record.